Molecule: long non-coding RNA, 1506 nt
Filed under: Felis catus (domestic cat)
Lineage: Eukaryota; Metazoa; Chordata; Mammalia; Carnivora; Felidae
Description: lncRNA (ENSFCAG00000047823.1)
Source: RNAcentral
GAAGCGUUUAGGGGGUGUCUGAUGUGUUGUCAUUACAGGCCAGGAAAUAACACCCUGGCAGCUUCAUACGUGUUCACGUCUCCAGACGUUUCCUGGGGAAAAACGACUUUAUCGGAAGUUUUUACGUAAACCUCUCGGCGUCGAGGAAAUUUGCACACACGCGAAAACAGAACAAUGACGGAUGGUGGCAUACGUCCUUUUAUUUUAUUUAUUUUAAUGUGUAUUUACUUUUUUUAACGUUUAUUUAUUUUUGAGACAGAGAGAGACAGAGCAUGAACGGGGGAGGGGCAGAGAGAGAGAGGGAGACACAGAAUCGGAAACAGGCUCCAGGCUCCGAGCCAUCAGCCCAGAGCCCGACGCGGGGCUCGAACCCACGGACCGCGAGAUCGUGACCUGGCUGAAGUCGGACGCUUAACCCACUGAGCCACCCAGGCGCCCCCCUCUUUCUUUAAGAAAACACGACUUCGCUGAUGUUGUUCGACCACAGACGGAAAUCUGCCCACUGCAGAAAAUUCAGAAGAUCCCCGCGAGCUAAAGAGGAGGAAGGGAACUCGGCUGUCAUCUGCCCCCGGAGCGCCAACGUCUAGGAAAACGGAGUCCCAGAGAGGGGAAGAGAUCCACCCAAAGCGGGGGGAAGAAAGAGAGGGCCGCCAGGCAGGAGACACAGCUCACGCAGAGGCUCGACGGCGGGCCCAGAAGAAGGUGCACGCAUCCAGUCAGAGCCCCGUCCUCCGGGAGAUGACCCCGUGCCAAGCCCGGGACCGAAUGCUGCCACACGUGGCCCUGAUGAUGGACAAAGGGCCCAGGAUGUCAGUUUGACAGAUGAGGGGACCGAGGCUGGGUGUAGGGAAGUGACUUCCCCCCCAAGCAGCGCACCUGAGGCUCACGUGCCACUGGCCGAGGGUGCAAAAGGCUUCCGCGAACGUUCUCAGAAGAGAAAUUUCCUCAAAGUCAGCAGCCCGAGGGAGGGGUGAGCGGGAGAGCCGAGGCCGGGGGCGGGGGUUCCAGGCCCCCGUCUCAGUCCCCAGCCCGCUGGAGGAGCAGACAGGGCUUCCUUUUGCUGCCACGUUUUGGGGCUGAGGUCAGGAAAGCCUGGUCUACGCUGGUCACGGGCUUACCCACCUGUCUCUGCUCGCAGUUUCUCUUUUCCUGGACGAAUCUUCCCGACUACGGCAACAGUAGAUGUGUAUUCAAUGCACUGGGACUUCCCUUAAGUAUUUAAUUAUUCAACAAAUAUUAGCUGCGUGUCACACGCUGUCGUAGGUGCUGGGAGGAAACGGUAAACAGAACAGAAUGAAAAUCUCCGCUUUCAAGAGCUGACGUCGUACGCUCAAAAGUAAACACGUAAAACAGACAGCGGGUCAGAGGCGGUGAGGGCUCAGGGAAAGAAAUCAAGCAGCAAAGGCGGAUGAGAUUUGUGGGGAAGGGCUCAGCGCUGAGAUUUCAAACAGAGUAAAUCUUAAAUAGGGUGGUCGGGGGAGGCCCCAGGGAGAAGGUGGAGUGUGA